GAUGAACGCUGGCGGCGUGCCUAAUACAUGCAAGUCGAGCGGACAGACGAGGAGCUUGCUGCGCGGACGUUAGGGGCGGGCGGGUGAGUAACACGUGGAUAACCUACCUAUAAGAGGGGGAUAACUUCGGGAAACCGGAGCUAAUACCGGAGAAGAUAUUGAACCGCAUGGGUCAAUGGUGAGAGACGGUUGUGGGGGCACGUAUAGAUGGUUCUGCGCCGCUUUAGCUAGUUGGUAAGGUAAAGGGUUACCAAGGGAACGAGGCGUAGGCGAACUCAGGGGCUGAUCGGCCACCUUGGAACUGAGCCACCCUCCAUACUACUACGGGACGCACCAGUCUCCUACCUUACGCAGUGGGGGGAAACCUGACGGAGCAACCCCACGCGAGUGACGACGGUCUUCCGUUCGUAAAACUCUCCUACUAGGGAAGAACCACUGUCUACGUAACCAUGCCCGUCUUGACGGUACCUAAUCAGAAAGCCACGGCUAACUACGUG
RNAcentral lists this ribosomal RNA (497 nucleotides) under uncultured bacterium. RNAcentral describes it as "partial 16S ribosomal RNA". It matches the Rfam family "Bacterial small subunit ribosomal RNA", at positions 28 to 507 of the family's 1533-position model. The record is from RNAcentral.